AUUGAACGCUGGCGGCAUGCCUUACACAUGCAAGUCGAACGGUAACGGGUCUUCGGAUGCUGACGAGUGGCGAACGGGUGAGUAAUACAUCGGAACGUGCCUAGUAGUGGGGGAUAACUACUCGAAAGAGUGGCUAAUACCGCAUGAGAUCUACGGAUGAAAGCAGGGGAUCGCAAGACCUUGAGCUACUAGAGCGGCCGAUGGCAGAUUAGGUAGUUGGUGGGAUAAAAGCUUACCAAGCCGACGAUCUGUAGCUGGUCUGAGAGGACGAUCAGCCAGACUGGGACUGAGACACGGCCCAGACUCCUACGGGAGGAAGCAGUGGGGAAUUUUGGACAAUGGGCGCAAGCCUGAUCCAGCAAUGCCGCGUGCAGGAUGAAGGCCUUCGGGUUGUAAACUGCUUUUGUACGGAGCGAAACGGCUUCCACUAAUACUGGGGGCUAAUGACGGUACCGUAAGAAUAAGCACCGGCUAACUACGUGCCAGCCGCCGCGGUAA
RNAcentral lists this ribosomal RNA (498 nucleotides) under uncultured bacterium. RNAcentral describes it as "partial 16S ribosomal RNA". It matches the Rfam family "Bacterial small subunit ribosomal RNA", at positions 30 to 523 of the family's 1533-position model. The record is from RNAcentral.